Molecule: non-coding RNA, 644 nt
Organism: Biomphalaria pfeifferi
Lineage: Eukaryota; Metazoa; Mollusca; Gastropoda; Planorbidae
Source: the annotation of a GenBank genome assembly
CCCCCCCCCCCCCCCCCCAUGUCUGUUCUAGUAAAAUCUGGUGAUUUCAAUGCAGUUCUCAUAGAGUUUGUCACAUGGUUAGAGGGUUUACUAAGUUAGAUAGGAAACAAACAAGGUAUCUUCUCUCAUUGAGUUUAAGUAUCCCCCCUCACACAUUUCUCUCUUCUCUCUCCCCCUCUCUCUGCCUGUUUAUGGUUCACAUUAUUGGUUGCUAAUUCAGUGUUUCUCUAAAAGGGGUCCGAGUACCCCAGGGAUGGGUUUAGAGUUACUUAUUGGAAAAAUAGGUAGCCUGUGUAUGAGUAUGUGAGAGACUCUUUGAUUGUUGCUGACAAUACAUUUCAAUAGGAAACACAGUCAAGGUUUUGUUCCAUUUUAAUUUUGACAAAAAGAAGGGGGGGGGGGGUAAUUUUAAACAAAUGUCUGCGAAAGAAUUGGAACGAAAGAAAAAGGUUAAAACACUUAAAAGUUAAUUCUCUCCUAUGCUCCCAGAGUUCACUGUUUUUGUCAGUGCAGAAUUAUUUUUUUUUGGGAGAAGGAGGGAGGGUGAGGUAUGUUUGGAACUUGAUGUCACUGUGACAUUCUAAGUCAUCAGGUUGGUUUACAUUAUUUAGCAGAUUUCUUCCUCCCCCCCCCCCCCCCCCCCC